This 623-nucleotide unclassified non-coding RNA is filed under the name Hevea brasiliensis (rubber tree). The record is from RNAcentral. Lineage: Eukaryota; Viridiplantae; Streptophyta; Magnoliopsida; Malpighiales; Euphorbiaceae.
GUGGCGUCGAGUUUUGAGGAAUUGGGGUUGACGGAAGAGGUUAUGGGGGCUUUAGGUGAAAUGGGUAUUUCGGAACCGACUGAGAUUCAGUCGAUUGGUAUACCUGCUGUGAUUGAAGGGAAAAGUGUGGUAUUGGGUUCACAUACGGGUUCUGGGAAGACUCUUGCUUAUAUGUUGCCUAUUGUUCAGUUGUUGAGGCGAGAUGAGGAAUUGGAUGGUAUGCUCAUGAAGCCUAGGCGCCCCCGAGCUGUUGUGUUGUGCCCUACUAGGGAGCUCUGUGAGCAGGUUUUUCGUGUGGCAAAAUCUAUCAGUCAUCAUGCUCGAUUUAGAUCUACCAUGGUUAGUGGUGGCGGACGUCUGAGACCUCAAGAAGAUUGUUUGGCAAGCCCAAUUGACAUGAUUGUGGGGACUCCAGGCAGGGUUCUACAACAUAUUGAAGAGGGAAAUAUGGUUUAUGGUGACAUCAGAUACUUGGUCUUGGAUGAGGCUGAUACCAUGUUUGAUCGUGGUUUUGGUCCAGAUAUACGAAAAUUUCUUGCGCCAUUGAAAAACCGUGCUUCAAAGACUGAUGAUGAAGGAUUUCAAACCGUUUUGGUGACGGCAACAAUGACAAAGGCAGUUCA